Molecule: ribosomal RNA, 253 nt
Filed under: uncultured bacterium
Lineage: Bacteria
Description: partial 16S ribosomal RNA
Rfam family: Bacterial small subunit ribosomal RNA
Source: RNAcentral
UACGUAGGGGGCAAGCGUUAUCCGGAUUUACUGGGUGUAAAGGGAGCGUAGACGGCUUUGCAAGCCAGAUGUGAAAGCCCGGGGCUCAACCCCGGGACUGCAUUUGGAACUGUGUGGCUAGAGUGUCGGAGAGGCAGGCGGAAUUCCUAGUGUAGCGGUGAAAUGCGUAGAUAUUAGGAGGAACACCAGUGGCGAAGGCAGCCUGCUGGACGAUGACUGACGUUGAGGCUCGAAAGCGUGGGGAGCAAACAGG